GCUCCUUUCCAGGGUUAUUCUAUGCCUGGCCACCCUUGGGUGCACAGGAAGUCACAAAUGGGGCCGAAGAGAGAAAAAAGAGAAACCUGAACUUGAGAAGAAAAACACGGGCGGCCUUACCCCACUGAGACCUCACAAAGGAGCAACAAGAAAGACUCAAGAGGACCAAGGCCUAUGAUGUACCAAGGAUGUUAGCUGCCAGGAGUGCAUUUCUGAAUCAUUUCUUAACACUUGGCAAGGAGGCAUGAUUGUUUAAAACUGCUUUUGUAGCCAGGGAACUGGAAAUAUUACGUCUAUAAACAACAAUGGAUUUUAAUUUUCCUGUAUUCUAAUCAUUUUCACUUAAAAUAUUGGAAGUUUUAAAGGGACACUCUUUGAGGCUAAGGCUUUAUCUGUUCUGAUCUUGUUAAGUCACUAACUUGCCCCGGGUGGGCCGGAACUUGCAGUGCUCCUGCCUCAGGCUCCCAGAGUGCUGGAAGUACAGGAUCCUCAACUUCAACCUCCAAAUGAAGACAACACCCCAUGACACUCACAGUGAAGAAACUCUGGAUUCCUGAGUGACAUGUAGAGCCAGGAACCUAUCAACCCACUCUGGACUACUACACAGAAGAUAAUUAAGCGUUGUAGUCUUAAGUCUCUGUAUUAUAACAUCUCUUUGUUAAGGUGACAAAACUAAGCAUCUGUGACAAAGGCCCUAAUGUUUACUGCAUCCAGACUGCUGUAUCCCCUUGUCCACACAACUGAAAGAUUCCCUCAUGAGACAUUCAAGAUGUCCAAGUACCAGCCGGCAUUGAAUCAUGAACUGCUGUAAGUUCAUCAUCUCAUUUACUCCACGUGACAUACUUACGGCUGCUGGCCAGAAAAUAGAGACGUGUGCUUAUUGGCUAGAUUUUAUAACAAUGUGGCUCAUUGAUGAGUAAAAACCCAGACAGAUUUGGAUUGCACAGAGUUAAAAGUAAAAAGCCACACCUUACCCUGACCAAUCUUGACUUCUCAUUCCAGGGCCCUCUUAAAUGAUAUAUAAAGUUUAUAUAUACAUGGAUGAUUUUUACAGGGAAAAUAACAGAGUCCAUCAUAGACAUUUAUACUUAUAAGGGUGAAAAUAUCUAUUUGUUUUAAAAAUUCUUUUCUAAUUUUGUAUUUAAUAUGUUAACAAUUAAGUGCUUUGAACUGAUAAAGAAUAUUAAAAUAAACAUCAUUUAUAACCACUUUCAUCCCAGCAGUUCUGCUUUUAGCCAAUUAAUCUAUAGAAAUACUCAUGAAAAUGUGUAAAAGGGUAUAUAAAUUUAAAUCUGUAUUAAUAUUGCAAAUACAUCCAAAUAAUAACCUAAUACAUAUAUUUCGCUGAACAGUUUAUCACUUUGUUUAUAUUUUAAGCCAUUACCAACAGUGCUUACUGAUAUUAUUUUUAAUUUUGAGAAAUU
Molecule: long non-coding RNA, 1424 nt
Organism: Cavia porcellus (domestic guinea pig)
Lineage: Eukaryota; Metazoa; Chordata; Mammalia; Rodentia; Caviidae
Exons: 3
Source: RefSeq, a predicted model, not a curated record